ACUCCUACGGGAGGCAGCAGUGGGGAAUUUUGGACAAUGGGGGCAACCCUGAUCCAGCCAUGCCGCGUGAGUGAAGAAGGCCUUCGGGUUGUAAAGCUCUUUCAGCCGGGAAGAAAUCACAUGGGUUAAUACCCUGUGUGGAUGACGGUACCGGAAUAAGAAGCACCGGCUAACUACGUGCCAGCAGCCGCGGUAAUACGGAGGGUGCAAGCGU
Molecule: ribosomal RNA, 214 nt
Filed under: uncultured organism
Description: partial 16S ribosomal RNA
Rfam family: Bacterial small subunit ribosomal RNA
Source: RNAcentral